GUAGGGUGCGAGCGUUAUCCGGAAUCAUUGGGCGUAAAGAGCUCGUAGGCGGUUCAGCAAGUCGGCUGUGAAAUUCCGAGGCUCAACCUCGGAACUGCAGUCGAUACUGCUGUGACUCGAGUCCGGUAGAGGAGAAUGGAAUUCCCGGUGUAGCGGUGAAAUGCGCAGAUAUCGGGAGGAACACCAGUAGCGAAGGCGGUUCUCUGGGCCGGCACUGACGCUGAGGAGCGAAAGCGUGGGUAGCAAACAGGAUUAGAUACCCUGGUAGUCCCACGCCCGUAAACGUUGGAUACUAGGUGUGGGGUUCCCGACCAACGGUCCCCGUGCCGAAGCUAACGCAUUAAGUAUCCCCGCCUGGGAGUACGGCCGCAAGGCUA
Molecule: ribosomal RNA, 377 nt
Filed under: uncultured organism
Description: partial 16S ribosomal RNA
Rfam family: Bacterial small subunit ribosomal RNA
Source: RNAcentral